This 497-nucleotide ribosomal RNA is filed under the name uncultured bacterium. RNAcentral's name for it is "partial 16S ribosomal RNA". It matches the Rfam family "Bacterial small subunit ribosomal RNA", at positions 28 to 507 of the family's 1533-position model. The record is from RNAcentral.
GAUGAACGCUGGCGGCGUGCCUAAUACAUGCAAGUCGAGCGAACAGACGAGGAGCUUGCUCCUCUGACGUUAGCGGCGGACGGGUGAGUAACACGUGGAUAACCUACCUAUAAGACUGGGAUAACUUCGGGAAACCGGAGCGAAUACCGGAUAAUAUAUUGAACCGCAUGGUUCAAUAGUGAAAGACGGUUUUGCUGUCACUUAUAGAUGGAUCCGCGCCGCAUUAGCUAGUUGGUAAGGUAACGGCUUACCAAGGCAACGAUGCGUAGCCGACCUGCGAGGGUGAUCGGCCACACUGGAACUGAGACACGGUCCAGACUACUGCGGGAGGCAGCAGUAGGGAAUCUUCCGCAUUGGGCGAAAGCUUGACGGAGCAACGCCGCGUGAGUGAUGAAGGUCUUCGGAUCGUAAAACUCUGUUAUUAGGGAAGAACAAAUGUGUAAGUAACUAUGCACGUCUUGACGGUACCUACUCAGAAAGCCACGGCUAACUACGUG